GACGAACGCUGGCGGCGUGCUUAACACAUGCAAGUCGAACGGAAAGGCCCUGCUUUUGUGGGGUGCUCGAGUGGCGAACGGGUGAGUAACACGUGAGUAACCUGCCCUUGACUUUGGGAUAACUUCAGGAAACUGGGGCUAAUACCGGAUAGGAGCUCCUGCUGCAUGGUGGGGGUUGGAAAGUUUCGGCGGUUGGGGAUGGACUCGCGGCUUAUCAGCUUGUUGGUGGGGUAGUGGCUUACCAAGGCUUUGACGGGUAGCCGGCCUGAGAGGGUGACCGGCCACAUUGGGACUGAGAUACGGCCCAGACUCCUACGGGAGGCAGCAGUGGGGAAUAUUGCACAAUGGGCGGAAGCCUGAUGCAGCAACGCCGCGUGCGGGAGGACGGCCUUCGGGUGGUAAACCGCUUUCGCCUGUGACGAAGCGUGAGUGACGGGAAUGGGGAAAGAAGCACCGGCUAACUACGU
This 467-nucleotide ribosomal RNA is filed under the name uncultured bacterium. Its description in RNAcentral is "partial 16S ribosomal RNA". It matches the Rfam family "Bacterial small subunit ribosomal RNA", at positions 28 to 506 of the family's 1533-position model. The record is from RNAcentral.